Molecule: ribosomal RNA, 83 nt
Filed under: Gordius paranensis complex ZT2016 clade 2
Lineage: Eukaryota; Metazoa; Nematomorpha; Gordioida; Gordea; Gordiidae
Description: partial 28S ribosomal RNA
Rfam family: Eukaryotic large subunit ribosomal RNA
Source: RNAcentral
UCCKACSUCAGAUCGAACGAGWAUACCCGCCGAAYUUAAGCAUAUUAAUAAACGGAGGAAAAGAAACUAACGAGGAUUCCUAC